Sinocyclocheilus grahami is the source of this 118-nucleotide long non-coding RNA. RefSeq lists it as uncharacterized. The record is from RefSeq and is a predicted model, not a curated record. The transcript has 3 exons. Lineage: Eukaryota; Metazoa; Chordata; Actinopteri; Cypriniformes; Cyprinidae.
UUACAUUUAUACUGUUAAAAACGAGCCUAGGUUCUUCAUUGGCAUUGAUGGUCCCGUGAAGAACCUUUAACAUCCAUGGAAACUUUCCAUUCCACAAAAUGUUCUUUAAAGUGGAAAG